GGUAAAGGCCUACCAAGGCGACGAUCGUUAGCUGGUCUGAGAGGAUGAUCAGCCACAUUGGGACUGAGACACGGCCCAAACUCCUACGGGAGGCAGCAGUGGGGAAUAUUGGACAAUGGGCGAAAGCCUGAUCCAGCAAUGCCGCGUGUGUGAAGAAGGUCUUCGGAUUGUAAAGCACUUUCGACGGGGACGAUGAUGACGGUACCCGUAGAAGAAGCCCCGGCUAACUUCGUGCCAGCAGCCGCGGUAAUACGAAGGGGGCUAGCGUUGCUCGGAAUGACUGGGCGUAAAGGGCGCGUAGGCGGAUGGCACAGUCAGAUGUGAAAUUCCCGGGCUUAACCUGGGGGCUGCAUUUGAUACGUGUUGUCUAGAGUGAGGAAGAGGGUCGUGGAAUUCCCAGUGUAGAGGUGAAAUUCGUCGAUAUUGGGAAGAACACCGGUGGCGAAGGCGGCGACCUGGUCCUUUACUGACGCUGAGGCGCGAAAGCGUGGGGAGCAAACAGGAUUAGAUACCCUGGUAGUCCACGCUGUAAACGAUGUGUGCUGGAUGUUGGGCGACCUAGUCGCUCAGUGUCGUAGCUAACGCGAUAAGCACACCGCCUGGGGAGUACGGCCGCAAGG
This 620-nucleotide ribosomal RNA is filed under the name uncultured bacterium. Its description in RNAcentral is "bacterial SSU rRNA". It matches the Rfam family "Bacterial small subunit ribosomal RNA", at positions 256 to 893 of the family's 1533-position model. The record is from RNAcentral.